UGGGGAAUUUUGGACAAUGGGGGAAACCCUGAUCCAGCCAUCCCGCGUGUGCGAUGAAGGCCUUCGGGUUGUAAAGCACUUUUGGCAGGAAAGAAACGUCAUGGGUUAAUACCCCGUGAAACUGACGGUACCUGCAGAAUAAGCACCGGCUAACUACGUGCCAGCAGCCGCGGUAAUACGUAGGGUGCAAGCGUUAAUCGGAAUUACUGGGCGUAAAGCGUGCGCAGGCGGUUCGGAAAGAAAGAUGUGAAAUCCCAGAGCUCAACUUUGGAACUGCAUUUUUAACUACCGGGCUAGAGUGUGUCAGAGGGAGGUGGAAUUCCGCGUGUAGCAGUGAAAUGCGUAGAUAUGCGGAGGAACACCGAUGGCGAAGGCAGCCUCCUGGGAUAACACUGACGCUCAGGCACGAAAGCGUGGGGAGCAAACAGG
This 429-nucleotide ribosomal RNA is filed under the name Acidobacteriota bacterium. RNAcentral describes it as "Acidobacteria bacterium partial 16S ribosomal RNA". It matches the Rfam family "Bacterial small subunit ribosomal RNA", at positions 355 to 776 of the family's 1533-position model. Lineage: Bacteria; Pseudomonadati; Acidobacteriota. The record is from RNAcentral.